Long non-coding RNA from Zeugodacus cucurbitae (melon fly), 1389 nucleotides. RefSeq lists it as uncharacterized. Lineage: Eukaryota; Metazoa; Arthropoda; Insecta; Diptera; Tephritidae. The transcript has 2 exons. The record is from RefSeq and is a predicted model, not a curated record.
GUUCCUUGCGUAUUGUAUAGAUAUUAUUUGCAGUUAAGAAAAAUAUGCCAAUAUUAAACAUUAUGAGCAGUAAACAGGGUCCAUGGAAAUAGAUCAUGGCAGACCAAUCAUCAACUGGAAAGUUGUAUUGUUUUAAGUGUGUAUCUCCAAUGCCCGACUUGAGACCAUUUGGUAAAUUUGAGUUUUGUAAACUGGCUGUGACUAUUGUCAUCAAAGCCGGCAUGCCCCAAGCGUAGAGGGAAUAGUAAAGAAAUCGUUUACGCUUCGUUACGUUUUGAACUGCGCCUUGGGUGACACGUAAAUUUUUCCAAAGAUCGAAGCAGAUCACAUUCAGCCAGAAGAAGACGGCAGUAAUGAAGAAGUAUGCCACAAAACCUGUUGAGAUCAAGUUUUCGUUUUACUGUACUAAAAAUAAGUGUAUAAGGUCUACAGAAAUCUUCGAUAAAAUUGGAUAUGUUUAGGCAAAAAUAGUUUGAGAUAAGCCAUCCAACGUACAAAACAAUAAGCGAUACAAUGAAAUUAUAUCGAUAAACUUACCGAUAAUAGCGCAAACAACUUUUUCAUAAUAUGUAUGUUGCAGAUUGACUAAAACAAUCAACGUUGUACCAAUCGCUAACGAAAGUAGAUAACUAAUCAAGCACUUGGUGUGCAAGUUCCACAAUUCCGGUAUGAGCCAAUAGAUCAGUAUGGUGGCAUAAAGAAAUGGCGCCGAAAUCAGCAUGACUGGAACGGUAAAAAAAAUAUUAUAUGCUCCUGAUUCUCUUUCUACUCGUUCUCUCCGGUGUCUCUUUCACUUACUUAUCGUAUUUAACUUUAGCGUUGGUGGGUCGUCAGAUCGCCCACAGUUCAUUGGAUUCAAUACAAACCCCUCACUCGUAUUAUAAGCGUGUAAGCAAUAAUCUCUCCUUGAGAAAUAUUUCGCAUCGCUUGUGCGCAACAACGUGCCGUUCUGUAAAAAAUAUUCAUAAAAAGACAACCUCUUCAGUUGAAGAUGUCGCACUCGUAACUGUUUUUCCUACCUCAAACAAUUCCCAAUGAUCCUCUUCGUACUUGUGUGGCAUUAGCAUAUAGCCACCACUGUAGCACGGUAUCCCCUGCUGCACCACAAACUCAUCCAACAUAUGCAUCACGACACGACUGUUGUUUCGCAGAGUUACAUUUACGUAUGGUGAAUAUGUGCGCUCCCCAUUAAGUACUUCUCUACAUUGCAGCGUGUAACCAGUGAUGAGACUUAUUCUAUACAUAUUCGCCCUUGGAUGACAGCAGAACUUUACACAUUGUUUGAUCUUGCACACACAGCCGCGUGUAUGUCUCUCUACGGGCUUACGCACACCUUCGUAAAGCUCAAUAUAGUUAUAUUCGGCUAUCAAUUGUGGUGGCACCAACACC